Macrobrachium nipponense is the source of this 655-nucleotide long non-coding RNA. RefSeq lists it as uncharacterized. The transcript has 2 exons. The record is from RefSeq and is a predicted model, not a curated record. NCBI's taxonomy places the organism in Eukaryota, Metazoa, Arthropoda, Malacostraca, Decapoda, Palaemonidae.
CAGUAACCUUCGCAGCGAACGAAUGGUUAAAUAUUCGAGUUUGUUAGGUUUAUUCGGAAUUUCAUCUCGUCUUUGGUUUAGUUUUACAAGAGUACUACCAUCUCAUGUUAAAUUAGUAGAGAUAUACGAUACUUUGAAUAAUUUGUAAGGUUUUAAUAAGUUUGUUACGAAAUUUCUGUCUUGAUAAAAAUAUUUUGUAAAGGUAGUCAAACAAUUGUAUUUUAAUCGUAACAAAAACAGUUUUCCGUUAGCUAUAACAUUGUUAAGAACUGAAAGUUGCGUAGUUCACCCGAGUAAUCGCCAUUUUCCGAGAGGGUUUAGUGAGAGGAACACAACACCAACCCUGCCAGAAUGUUUGCCGUCAAAAAUACAGUUAGUGCUCUUGCACGCGCUGGUUCUAUGAUGGUAGUACCCAAAAGGACGAGCAUAAUUUCCGGGCCACCUCAGGUCAAGGUCUCUAAAAUCGAGAAGGCUCUUCACUUUGCUGCGAUUUCGGCUGGAAUAGUAUCAUCCCAGGAUGGAUCCUUGUACACAUUAGUGACUACCGUGGUUCUUAGCUGGAAUUUUUAAUUAUGAUUGAAUACAUGUAUUUCAUAAAGCUUAUUCUGUAAAUACAUUGACAAGUAACUUAAAUAUAUUGAAAAAGUAAUUUAAA